CUGCUCACCAAAUGCUCAGAGGCACUCCAGUUCCUUGGGUCCUGUUUUUGAUCACGAAGAUCUACUGAGACGAAAAAGAAAAAUACUGUCCUCAGAUGAGUCUCUCAGAUCCUCAAGGCUGCAGUCCCAUACGAGACAAUCAGAUAGCUCUUCUUCUCUGGCUUCUGAGAGAGAACACAUCACGUCUUUAGACCUUUCUGCCAACGAACUGAAAGAUAUUGAUGCUCUGGGCCAGAAGUGUUGCCUCAGUAGCCACCUGGAGCAUCUCACCAAGCUGGAACUUCACCAGAAUUCACUCACGAGCUUCCCACAACAGCUGUGUGAGACUCUGAAGUGCUUGACACAUCUGGAUUUGCACAGUAACAAAUUCGCCACCUUUCCCUCCUUCAUGUUGAAAAU
This 399-nucleotide long non-coding RNA is filed under the name Rattus norvegicus (Norway rat). Its description in RNAcentral is "long non-coding RNA NONRATT026238". Lineage: Eukaryota; Metazoa; Chordata; Mammalia; Rodentia; Muridae. The record is from RNAcentral.